UGGGGAAUAUUGCACAAUGGGGGGAACCCUGAUGCAGCGACGCCGCGUGAGUGAAGAAGUCAUUCGUGAUGUAAAGCUCUAUCAGCAGGGAAGAAAAUGACGGUACCUGAGUAAGAAGCCCCGGCUAACUACGUGCCAGCAGCCGCGGUAAUACGUAGGGGGCAAGCGUUAUCCGGAUUUACUGGGUGUAAAGGGAGCGUAGACGGCAAUGCAAGUCUGAAGUGAAAACCCAAGGCUCAACCAUGGGAUUGCUUUGGAAACUGUGUAGCUGGAGUGCAGGAGGGGUAAGUGGAAUUCCUAGUGUAGCGGUGAAAUGCGUAGAUAUUAGGAGGAACACCAGUGGCGAAGGCGGCUUACUGGACUGCAACUGACGUUGAGGCUCGAAGGCGUGGGGAGCAAACAGG
Molecule: ribosomal RNA, 404 nt
Filed under: uncultured bacterium
Lineage: Bacteria
Description: bacterial SSU rRNA
Rfam family: Bacterial small subunit ribosomal RNA
Source: RNAcentral